CUGGAACAGGUUGCCCAGAGAAGCUGUGGGUGCCCCAACCCUGGAAGUGUUCAAGGCUAGGCUGGAUGGAACUUUGAGCAGAAACUCUGUGGAAAAGGAGCAAAGACAAUCCAGAUGGCUGUGAAAGUGAAGACUAUGUGGGAAAUCAUGCAAGAGAUACAUUGCCUGCAGAAUGGGGAAAAACAUUAAAUCUUGGAGUUGCUGAUGCAGCAAUUAAUAUUGCAACCUUCACUGCCUUCAACGCACGGAAGAAAAGGACACAGACUCAUCUUCCAACCAGUCAGAAACUUUAACACCUACUCUUCAUUAUCCAGUAUUUAUACCGCCAGAUUGGACUUUCAUAUGGAAGCCUGGAGCAAUGCUGGUACAGAUGGCAAGAUGACUCUCAAGAGAUUGAUGACUCUGAAGAAAUACACAGUAUUAAGUCAGAAGGUGCAAAUGUUAACAUUCCAGUGUAGAAAAGAAAUAUUCCUUGCAUACGCUUCCCAGGUUUGUUUUCUCAUGCAUUACAAAGAGAAAGAAAAAGCCCUCGACACACCUCGUAGCUGGCAAACGAAUGAUAAAUUUACUUUAGUUUCUUUUGUAUGUCAACUGUUCAUGCCUCAGGUACUUAACCUUUACUUUAAAAACAUGGUUCAGAUCCUAGCCUUGAAGGUGGGUGGGAAGGGGGGGAUGGUAUUCCUGUAAAUGUUUCAUUUAACAAAGGCAGUACUAUAAGAAGGUUCAGUGGUGAGACUCUGAAUGGUAUUUAUUGUUUCAGAUUUCAGGGCUCCCAUACAUCUGCUGCCUGUCAAAGGCAGAUACCACAUUCAUAAAACAAGUGCCCUGUCUGAAGAAAAAAAAAGGAAAAAAAAAAAAGGACUCUCUUCUCUGUACCUCAGCCUCCAGGAUUAUGUGAGAUGGGAGGUUGCAAGAAGUAGAAGUUCUAAUUUGUCCUAAAGAAGAUCAACAAAAAAAAUCAACUUUUAUGAAAAAAAAAGUAAAUUUUACUUUUUUUUAAUAAAAUGGUUGUGGGCCCAGAUGCA
This 1025-nucleotide long non-coding RNA is filed under the name Parus major (Great Tit). Its description in RNAcentral is "lncRNA (ENSPMJG00000012749.1)". The record is from RNAcentral. Lineage: Eukaryota; Metazoa; Chordata; Aves; Passeriformes; Paridae.